UUAAGACAAAUAGAGAAGAAAAAUUAAAGAGGAAACAAAGAAUCAAAAUUUCAAACCUGAGUUUUCUUCGACGUUGCAGCAGGUGGAUCCUUAUUGCUUUUCUUCGUCGGGUUAAGGAUAACGGUUGCAGUGGUUGCACGUUGUCAUACCCCAAAAUUUGCCCUAAUUUUUUUAUUCAAUUCGCCUGACUUAUGGUUUUCUUCAUUUGCAUACUUUUUUUCUAUUUG
Molecule: long non-coding RNA, 227 nt
Filed under: Lathyrus oleraceus (garden pea)
Lineage: Eukaryota; Viridiplantae; Streptophyta; Magnoliopsida; Fabales; Fabaceae
Description: Pisum sativum (pea) long non-coding RNA (PSAT_LNC016990)
Source: RNAcentral